UGGCUCAGAACGUACGCUGGCGGCACGCCUAACACAUGCAAGUCGAACGAAGUAGCAAUACUUAGUGGCAGACGGGUGAGUAACAUGUAGGUAUCUGCCCUUUGGCCUGGAAUAACACGAGGAAACUUGUGCUAAUACCGGAUAAGUCUUUACGGAGAAAGCUUUAUGCACCAUUGGAUGAGCCUGCACUUGAUUAGUUUGUUGGUGGGGUAAUGGCCUACCAAGACUGUGAUCAAUAGCUGAUUUGAGAGGAUGAUCAGCCACAUUGGGACUGAGACACGGCCCAAACUCCUACGGGAGGCAGCAGUGGGGAAUCUUGCACAAUGGAGGAAACUCUGAUGCAGCGAUGCCGCGUGAGUGAAGAAGGCCCUUGGGUUGUAAACCUCUUUUAUCAAGGAAGAAGAUCUGACGGUACUUGAUGAAUAAGCCACGGCUAAUUCCGUGA
Molecule: ribosomal RNA, 445 nt
Filed under: uncultured bacterium
Lineage: Bacteria
Description: bacterial SSU rRNA
Rfam family: Bacterial small subunit ribosomal RNA
Source: RNAcentral